CGGCGAGUGAAGCGGCAAAAGCUCAAAUUUGAAAUCUGCGUAAGCCGAGUUGUAAUUUGAAGAUGGCUACUUUGGUAAUGGCUCUUGUCUAUGUUCCUUGGAACAGGACGUCACAGAGGGUGAGAAUCCCGUGCGAUGAGAUGUCCAUUACCGUGUAAAGUGCUUUCGAAGAGUCGAGUUGUUUGGGAAUGCAGCUCUAAGUGGGUGGUAAAUUCCAUCUAAAGCUAAAUAUUGGCGAGAGACCGAUAGCGAACAAGUACAGUGAUGGAAAGAUGAAAAGAACUUUGAAAAGAGAGUGAAAAAGUACGUGAAAUUGUUGAAAGGGAAGGGCUUGAGAUCAGACUUGGUAUUUUGUAUGGCUUGCUUUCGGGCGGGUCCUCUGCAGUUUACUGGGCCAGCAUCGGUUUGGGUGGCAGGAUAAUAGCAUAGGAAUGUGGCUCUACUUCGGUGGAGUGUUAUAGCCUUUGUUGAUACUGCCUGCCUAGACCGAGGACUGCGUCUUUUGACUAGGAUGCUGGCAUAAUGAUCCUAAGCCC
This 536-nucleotide ribosomal RNA is filed under the name Fermentozyma sake. Its description in RNAcentral is "[Candida] sake partial large subunit ribosomal RNA". It matches the Rfam family "Eukaryotic large subunit ribosomal RNA", at positions 87 to 647 of the family's 3401-position model. The record is from RNAcentral. Lineage: Eukaryota; Fungi; Ascomycota; Pichiomycetes; Serinales; Debaryomycetaceae.